AUGAUUGGACGAAACGAAGAAAUAGCUCCUUAUGUGCAAAACUAUACGAGAUCACCUGUAAAAUCAAACAAUUCCAUCGAAUUGAGUAUGAUUGUAUGCAAAUAG
This 105-nucleotide ribosomal RNA is filed under the name Triticum aestivum (bread wheat). RNAcentral describes it as "partial small subunit ribosomal RNA". Lineage: Eukaryota; Viridiplantae; Streptophyta; Magnoliopsida; Poales; Poaceae. The record is from RNAcentral.